Molecule: non-coding RNA, 78 nt
Organism: Mycena alexandri
Lineage: Eukaryota; Fungi; Basidiomycota; Agaricomycetes; Agaricales; Mycenaceae
Source: the annotation of a GenBank genome assembly
GGCGUCAUAGCUCAGUUGGGAGAGCAGCAGACUGAAGUCCUUCAGUGAUAUCUGAAGGUUCGAGCCACCGUGAUGCCA